Molecule: small nucleolar RNA, 134 nt
Filed under: Ricinus communis (castor bean)
Lineage: Eukaryota; Viridiplantae; Streptophyta; Magnoliopsida; Malpighiales; Euphorbiaceae
Description: Plant small nucleolar RNA R71
Rfam family: Plant small nucleolar RNA R71
About the family: R71 is a member of the C/D box family of snoRNAs containing the C (UGAUGA) and D (CUGA) box motifs. Multiple nearly identical copies of this snoRNA have been identified in Arabidopsis, and it is thought to function as a 2'-O-ribose methylation guide for 18S ribosomal RNA.
Source: Rfam by way of RNAcentral
AAAUCAUGAUGUGGGCAACUACUCAGUAAAUCCUUGAAACAUUCCUAACAAUCAUAUAAGGUCUCAUUCUCCUAACAAUCAUAUAAGGUCUCAUUCUCUUACUGAAGAAAUCCUGCUAUGUCAUUCCUCAACUU